AAACAUGGUGUAAAGUGGAACUGCUAAUUCUAUUUUGGGUAAUUCGAUUUUAUCCUUU
This 58-nucleotide transfer RNA is filed under the name Calyptraea chinensis. RNAcentral describes it as "tRNA-Ser". Lineage: Eukaryota; Metazoa; Mollusca; Gastropoda; Littorinimorpha; Calyptraeidae. The record is from RNAcentral.